Molecule: long non-coding RNA, 3697 nt
Organism: Colius striatus (speckled mousebird)
Lineage: Eukaryota; Metazoa; Chordata; Aves; Coliiformes; Coliidae
Exons: 2
Source: RefSeq, a predicted model, not a curated record
UGGUGCUAAUUAUAGAUUGGUGUUGACUUAUUUCCUGUCUUUAAAUCUCAUUGGGAUCUAUGUGCUGCAGCAACAUGUCACCUAGGUGUGUUUUAAAAAGGUUUGUUGAAGGGAUCUGGACUUCUGUGGUGUUUUUCCUCUAAGCAAGUAGAACUUGCAGCUGAUAGCAACAGACACUCCUAUAAGCAGGUAUCUGUGAGCAUAACAACCGGCGUUGUGAAACCUGCACUGAAUACAGAAUUGCAAAAUGGCCAGAAUUCCUGUUGCUCUGUCUGUGUGAGUACUGCAACCAGUGGAGCCAGAGCAGCUUUGCUCCCCUCUUUUGACAAAAGCAUGGGGAACACAAGGCCUCAACGAGGAGGCCAUGUUGGAUGACAACCGAGUAGUCAGAAGGAGUUUGCUCUGGCCAUCUGUGAUUGUCUUUGUCUUGUGUUCAUCAGUGUUUCUUCUCUCCUAGGAAAGGAGGUGCUAGCUGUCAUUAUUCAAAGUGUUAAACCAUAGUGCCCCAAAUGUCCCUUUUUGGUUUUUUGAAAGGGUUUUUUAUAACCUGGGUCAAGCUCCUCAUAUUGCUAAUAGGGAUAGCUCAGUAAAGCUUCUCCUUUUCAGUGAGCAAAAGGAUCUUAAGGCAAAAUCAACUUUAGCUAGGGUGCCUUUGUAUCCAAGUAACUGUAUGUGAAGAGAUUGUUGCUCUGCUCUGUAAACUGCUCCUUCUUGUCAGUGUAGGGUAAUGGGGAAGGCAGGACAGGCAAAUGUAUAUUUGAAAGGGGUGUUCUGGAUGCAACACAUGAAUCAAGCAGAAAUGAUGCCGUGUUUGAACUGUUCACUUGUGUGCUUCAGGAGCAAUGAGGAGAAAGAUUUUUUGGCAAGGAAUAAAACCUCCUGCGAUGCAAGAUAAAACAUGUUUGCAGUUUGGUAACAUGUUCUGAGCAGAAAUUUGAAUGGUUAGAUUUGCAUACUUUGAACUCAGUUAUUCAUGACCUGCAACUGAUGCUCUUAACUCCUUUGUUUGCCUGAAACUGCUGGCCAGUUUGGGGAAGUUUCUUGAGUUUUUGCUGUGAAAUGGAAGUGCUCUGGAAAUCCUAAAGUGUCUGGUGUAUCUAAAAUGGAAACAGUAGAUCUUCUACUGCAAGAACAAUAGUGAAUAGAAAAGGAGCCUGUGUGAAGCUCCUUGGGGUUUCCCUGGUGAGUCUGCAACUCUGCUUUUCUUACUUGCCUGUAAUAUGAAGUUACAAUAUGAAGUGCAGCAUGAAGUUGACCACUAAUCCUGAUGUUAAAAGUUCCUUCUGGUGAAAAUGCAGCUAUAGUAAUGAGGUAAUUAAGAUGUCUGGUUGUCUAUGCUUGGAAAUUGAAAAUCUUUUGUGACAGCACUCCGUUGCCCUGCAAGCUUCAAAGUAAAUACAGGACGUUGCUGUCACUGGGUUCCAGGCUGUAUUUCUGGCUCCUGGGAACUUGUAUGAUAAAUGAAUAAGCAGUGUUGCAGGUGUGUCUGAUCUGUUGUGCACUAAUCAUAGAAUCAUAGCAUGGUGGGGGUUGGAACUUCCAGAGUAACAGCCUGCAAGGAGAAGGAAUUGCAGGCAAUGUAGUGUAGUUACCACUCUUGAGAUCUUUCCUGAGGAAGGAAUAACACAUUUUUCUGUAGAAGAUGAAUGUGCUGUGAAAUUAAAUGGGAGUGAAAUUUGGCUUUGGUACUCCAGGUAGCAAGAGACUCUCUUUGACCACUUCCAUUGUAGACUUAUGCCUUGGCUUCUCUUGCCUCAUGCUGUAUGCAGGUGAAAAAAACUCCUAUAUUUAGUAUUUAAUGUAUGACAAAUAAGACAACUUACUGACCAGAUAAGCUAUUUUGCUGUUUUUGAAAAGAAAUCUGCAGUAUCCUCACACUUCUGCAGUCUGUCAUCAUUUCACUGGAUGUCUUCCUUUGAGCCCUGUUUAAAAUAGCUUACAACUUACUAGCUAAGGAAUGAUUACCCCUAGAAACCACAGGUACAGCCCUUUGACUGGAGUGUCUCCUGGGGCUGUUGCCUGACACAAAGGUAUCUCUCCCUCCCCAAAUAACAUCUGGCCACCUCUGUGUGGUGCGUGGCUGCCUUGGGCACUGAUGGGCUGUGCCCGCCAUCAGUGACAGAAAUGGCACUGAGACGUGGUAUUGCCACCUUCUGGCGGUGGAUCCUUUAGCUGGCUGUUGGGUGAAAGAACUGGGUUUGUUUACCCAGCCUUGGGUGUGCAGUCAACUUAAAAGUUGUGAGUACAAGGCGCAGAGUUUGUGUUGUGGUUAUGUAACUAAUCUUUCUGAUCUUCCCUUGCACUUUCGGAUAGCAGCUUCUUUUUCAAAGUUUUAAAGCCUUGCAGUGCUGUUUGGCCUAUUUUCUCUUCAGUAAAGCAGCUGUGCUUUUCUUGAGAUACAUUGACUCUUCUCCAAGUGACUUUUUGCAAAACGAAUUGUUUUUAUAAAAGCUUCUAAAAACUGUUCUGUUUUAACUCUCCUGCUGCUAAUUUAUCUUAUUAGUUUGUAAGGUUACAGCACAAUUCCUAUCAUGAGAGCUGUUCUACGUGCUCUUCUCUUGUCAGAACAAACUCUCUUUAAACUAAAGCAAGACAAGGCUUCCUUUGGGCCUUUGUGCCUGCAACUGGUGUGCAGAUACCUGCUCAUUGGUAAUAAGACUUCUGUGUCUGUGGUCAGACUACAUGGCAUUGGUGUGUGUUUUGACCAAACUAUGGCAGAGGUGAAGGUUUUUAAUGAAACCAAGAGAGUUAGAGCACACCUUAUGUUUCAUCAAGGCUGACUGUGGUGGGAGAGGAUUGCUGUGGGAUUGCUGUCACUUGUGGUGCCAGACUUGUAGGAACAGCUUAGGCUGCCAGAACUGUCUUGCUUCCUAGCAAGCUGCUUUGAGUUGCUCGAAGUUGAAAGAUGCUGUGCUGUGUUUUUGGCCAGUGGUGAGGGUUCUGUUUUGGGGUUGACAAACAUUUGUCAAAAAUGUUCUUGCAGCUUUGGAUGUAAUGAAAGAUGCGUCUGCCCCUUGGUAAACUGGUGUAGCUGUUUGCACAGGGCCAGCUGUGGUUGGCAAACAGCUGAGUGUGAAAGGGCUUGUUGUGAGAGGCUGGGAUAUGACAGCAGGUUCACCAUGGUGUGAUGGAGCAGUGAGCUCAAGGUCAACAACUGGGGUUUUUUAGUGUUUGUAAAUUGUUGCUGAGCUGAUGGCUUAGUUCCUCUCAGAAGGAUCCUCUUCCAUGUCCUGGAGUGGGGGCUGUUUCUUCUUCUUGAGUGUCUUCUGCAUUUACCUAUUGCUGAGAAACUGCCAGUUGCCCAACAGGCUCCAGGUCCUGCUGCCUCUGCCUGACCCACGACCGCUCUGGUGUGAGGGAGGGUGGUUCCAGCUGCUCCAGUGCCUUCCUCUGCUUAGGCUGAUUAAGCUUCACCCGACAACUUCAUGGUGAAUGCUGCAGAGCAUCCUGAAAUGGUUCUUGGUCAGCAGCUGGCGGUUGCUGGCGGUGAGCUGUGUCGGGCCGGUACCUCUGAUGAAAUGGCAGCAGUUUCACUCCUGCGUGAAAGAGGAAGUUGCAGUGCUGCUGAGGCUCGACAGGAAGCUGCUGCAGGAUGUGUGGACAGAUUUGACAGCUCUGUUUCCUUUGGCUGGGAGAAUGUACACAUUUUAACCUGAAAACAGACUUAAAAAUAAAAGGAAUCUUAAGCUUGAAGGCA